UUGAGUGUUACAACUCCCAAACCCUUUGUGAACCUUACCACAUCGUUGCUUCGGCGGGACGCUCCGGAGGGGUGAAAACCCCCCCGGGUCACAGCUGCCGCCGAGGGCACCCAAACUCUUGUUUUCCCACAGCGAGUAUUACUUCUGAGUGGCAUAAGCAAAAAAUGAAUCA
Molecule: unclassified non-coding RNA, 172 nt
Filed under: uncultured fungus
Lineage: Eukaryota; Fungi
Description: sequence contains ITS1
Source: RNAcentral